Molecule: ribosomal RNA, 1442 nt
Filed under: uncultured organism
Description: 16S ribosomal RNA
Rfam family: Bacterial small subunit ribosomal RNA
Source: RNAcentral
GGAUGAACGCUAGCUACAGGCUUAACACAUGCAAGUCGUUUGGCAGCAUUUUAGUUUGCUUGCAAACUAAAGAUGGCGACCGGCGCACGGGUGAGUAACACGUAUCCAACCUGCCGAUAACUCGGGGAUAGCCUUUCGAAAGAAAGAUUAAUAUCCGAUAGUAUAUUAAAACCGCAUGGUUUUACUAUUAAAGAAUUUCGGUUAUCGAUGGGGAUGCGUUCCAUUAGUUUGUUGGCGGGGUAACGGCCCACCAAGACAACGAUGGAUAGGGGUUCUGAGAGGAAGGUCCCCCACAUUGGAACUGAGACACGGUCCAAACUCCUACGGGAGGCAGCAGUGAGGAAUAUUGGUCAAUGGACGAGAGUCUGAACCAGCCAAGUAGCGUGAAGGAUGACUGCCCUAUGGGUUGUAAACUUCUUUUAUAUGGGAAUAAAGUAUUCCACGUGUGGGAUUUUGUAUGUACCAUAUGAAUAAGGAUCGGCUAACUCCGUGCCAGCAGCCGCGGUAAUACGGAGGAUCCGAGCGUUAUCCGGAUUUAUUGGGUUUAAAGGGAGCGUAGGUGGAUUGUUAAGUCAGUUGUGAAAGUUUGCGGCUCAACCGUAAAAUUGCAGUUGAAACUGGCAGUCUUGAGUACAGUAGAGGUGGGCGGAAUUCGUGGUGUAGCGGUGAAAUGCUUAGAUAUCACGAAGAACUCCGAUUGCGAAGGCAGCUCACUAGACUGCAACUGACACUGAUGCUCGAAAGUGUGGGUAUCAAACAGGAUUAGAUACCCUGGUAGUCCACACAGUAAACGAUGAAUACUCGCUGUUUGCGAUAUACAGUAAGCGGCCAAGCGAAAGCAUUAAGUAUUCCACCUGGGGAGUACGCCGGCAACGGUGAAACUCAAAGGAAUUGACGGGGGCCCGCACAAGCGGAGGAACAUGUGGUUUAAUUCGAUGAUACGCGAGGAACCUUACCCGGGCUUAAAUUGCAAAUGAAUAAUCUGGAAACAGGUUAGCCGCAAGGCAAAUGUGAAGGUGCUGCAUGGUUGUCGUCAGCUCGUGCCGUGAGGUGUCGGCUUAAGUGCCAUAACGAGCGCAACCCUUAUCUUUAGUUACUAACAGGUCAUGCUGAGGACUCUAGAGAGACUGCCGUCGUAAGAUGUGAGGAAGGUGGGGAUGACGUCAAAUCAGCACGGCCCUUACGUCCGGGGCUACACACGUGUUACAAUGGGGGGUACAGAAGGCAGCUACCUGGCGACAGGAUGCUAAUCCCAAAAACCUCUCUCAGUUCGGAUCGAAGUCUGCAACCCGACUUCGUGAAGCUGGAUUCGCUAGUAAUCGCGCAUCAGCCAUGGCGCGGUGAAUACGUUCCCGGGCCUUGUACACACCGCCCGUCAAGCCAUGAAAGCCGGGGGUACCUGAAGUACGUAACCGCAAGGAGCGUCCUAGGGUAAAACUGGU